This is a non-coding RNA of Misgurnus anguillicaudatus (oriental weatherfish), 3333 nucleotides long. The record is from RefSeq and is a predicted model, not a curated record. Lineage: Eukaryota; Metazoa; Chordata; Actinopteri; Cypriniformes; Cobitidae.
UGUCUAAAAACUAGUAUUAUUUUCUUAGGUCAUUUUGCUAAUUAAGAAAAUACUACCUGAUUUAAGAAUUUUUAGAUAUUUCUACUGAAAAAAAAAAAAUUCUAAGUAAGAAAGUCAUUUUUUGCAGUGUAUGACGUUAAUUUCCACGUUACCCUUUGGCUUUACUGACGUGUAACAUGUAUGACUAACAAUUUCGUUUUGAACAUUACAUGAAACCUUACAUAAUGAAAUAAAAUGGUGUCAUCAAAAGAAAUUAUCAAAAUAGACUGAAAACAUGCGUUACCAUCAGUGUUCUUCUGUGGUUAUGAAUCAGCAUUGUGAUGAUACAUAGAAGGAAGUAAAGGAUUGUGGAAAAUAAAACAACUUCCUCUUUCUUUACUUUAAAAGAAGCAAGUGCUGUCAUAAAACGCACACAACACAACCUGGACUGCUGACGAACACGAGGUAAAUAAGGCAAUAAAGACUAAAACAAAAAUGUUUCAGCUGAUAGCAAGACUACGUCCGAUCUGGUCCAGCGUGUGUGACCUCUACACGAGCAACACCACGAAGAGCUGGAAGGAGAAACUUCUCCUGGUGUUUACCUGCUUCACCUCCAGCCUCAUUCUGAGCAGCUUAAUCUUCCUCAUCCUCCACUUUUCCUUUAAAUGUAAUCUGGAAGUCUCAGCUUCCAUAAGCUGUGGUUUCUGUGUUUGUUUAACCCCAGCCAUCUUUUUCUCAGAAAGGGCUCGCUGUUUUGCAGCCUUGCUUUUGAUCUCCAUGGGUUUGAAACAAGUGAGGUCUCUUCUUCUGACAUUUGGAACGAGUUUGGUUAUUUUCUUCAACAUCAAGAACACGUUAUGGAACGGCAGACUGCUCGCGAAAGGCCUGAUUUGCAACUUGGAGGAAAAAUUAUUGGAUAUUAACAUGGAGCCCUUUGGGAAUUACAUAAAAAUGCUGAAAUGGGUGGGAAAUCAACUUAAAAACGUUCUAAGUAUUAAUCUAGUGAAAGUCCAUGCAGACUUCAAGCUUAAGCCGAAAGUUAACUCAGAGAGCUUUAAAACUCACAUGAUCGAAGGUGAGCGAGCCCUAAAUGAGACGGUUCGGAGCCUGCUGAUGCUGACCGACGCCUUGUCUUCAGUAGGAAAGAUCUUGUCUCCGACUUUAGGUCUCUUUCUUCUGUUGCUUCUCACGGCUCUGUACCUCAGGCGAUUCCGCAUAGACAAAAAGUACAACAACGUAUAUAUCACAAAAAACUUUAUUCGCUUUGAUGAAAAGCAAAGGGAGAAAGGUAAACCUUGUGUCCUUCCGUUCACUAAAAGUGAAUUGAAACGUUACGUUAUGACCCCGUCCCUCAGUCUGACGGCCCAGCGAUGGAAAGCCAUGCUUAAGUUCAGCAUUCCCAUAUUAACCCAUUGUCUCACCUGGCUGGUGUUUAUCAGUCUAGACAGCUUCAUUUAUUGGCUUAUUGUAGUUCUAAGUAAGCGACUUGGGGAUCUGGAGCCGCUUCGUGUUCCUGUGGGCAUAAAACUUCAGGAGGCAACUUUAUUUUUAGGUUUAUCUGUUGAGGAAAAUGCGAAAUGGGCCAACUUUUCCUACACCGUGUCUUUGUUUGAGAAGAAGUGUUUGCCUGAACCUGAACUGUGGCUAUACAGAUCUCUGGUCCCAUUGUCUCUCGUUCUGGUCUUUCUGCUGUUUCUGAGUCUGCUGUCAUCACAGCUCACGCAGCUCAGGGUUUUGCUGUCCGAACAGUUUUAUUCAGAUGUUGCAGAGAGACGCGCUGCCUAUCUGCACGCAAAGAUCUUAAAAAAGCGUCACAAAUAUAAAGCGGAUAAAGGAGAUCUGAAGACCUCGGUUAUGCAGGUUUGUAUUCAAUACUAUAUCUACAUACAGCACACAGGUUCCCUUACAUGAAAGUCGGUGUCAUGUUUCUACAGUAGCCCUAAAUGGACAAACUGUUCUAUAGAGUGCGUUUUGUCACUACGUUGUCUCAGACGAUGAUGUGAUUGUCCUGUGGUGGCUACUGUAGCUUCUCUAUGCGUUUCUCAAAAGAGAGGGGUAAGCUAUGGACUGAGCAGUCUCACCACUAGAUGUCGCUUAAAUUCCCACUUUGCAUAUUUAAAUUUCUUGUAGAUCACCAGGGACCUCAUUUAGUAAGCGUGGGUAAAAAUUCACGGCCAUAUUUCUAAAAACUGUCGUUGAUGUGGAAAAGUGCUUAGCGCCAAGUCAGGGUCUGAUCAGAUGUACGCACUUUUGCUUGUCUGAUUGCUGCAGGUUUUUGGAAAAUAAGCCAUUCUAUAUAAGUCAUAUAAGCGCUCUUUUAUGUGUCUAUGACAUUAAUUACGCAUUGUUUAAAGGCGGAGGUUUUAAACUGCUUAACUGCGCACAAGUUCAAGAUCAUUUAUGAUUUAUAAAUUUCACAUCUGAAAGAAAGGGGUACGCGUUGGUUUAUGAAUCACACAUACGCAUUUUUCAUAAAAGGUCGUAAGAUCAAAUGUACGAUGGUUUCUACACAGCAUUUUAUAAAUGAGGCCCCUGAAAUAUAUCAGAGAAAAUCUUUUAUUGCAUUUUUAAAAAUAAAGUUGCUAGAAAUGUUUUAGUUAAAUCAACUUAGAUUUACAAGUCAUUUUAACUUACUAUUAUUUAUCUUGACUAGAGAUAAGUUGUUAUAACUUAUUACACAGCUCUCUGGAAUGCUUGAUUCUGAUUGGUCAGUUGAGACAUUUGCAGGUUCGUUCUUUUCAAAUAAUAACCGCUCCAAAGUAAUAACGCAUAGCCAGUACUACUUGUAUAUUUAAAAUCCCUCCGCGCCAACAGAGAUUACCGUUUGGCGCCAUCUUGUGACAAACACUGGACAACCACAAUUAACAAUGGAAAAUUUUGACAUUAAUUUUAACAUGUACGUGUACGGUAAAAACAAAACGUUUGAACAGUGGAUAGAUUUGGACGAUUCAAAUGGCUCCCCAAUUUAGACGAAAAAACGAAAAUUGAACUACGAAGAACAAACAACAACAAGACACAGAGAUCUUACUGAACUGGACAAAAUAGAGCAUGACAGCUACGAAGCCAACACGCGGAAGGAUAAAAAUGUUAAUUUAAAACAAAUAUGCCAAUAAAAUGUUUCAAAUUCAUAUUCAUGUCCAUUUUUUUCCUUAUGUGGCAAGUAGCCGUGAAAUAAGCGGGAUAAUGUACAGGCAGCCGGUAGUUAUCGCCAAAUAAGCCCCGACAGUGUGUGAUCAGGACCCGACGCGAAGCGGACAUUAGCCUGUACAUUAUCCCUUAUAAAAUAUAGUUGAAAGAAGUCAACUUAAUUUUAUAAGUUGUAGCAACUCAUCUCUUCUUACACUUUUACAGCGA